RNAcentral lists this ribosomal RNA (301 nucleotides) under uncultured bacterium. RNAcentral describes it as "partial 16S ribosomal RNA". It matches the Rfam family "Bacterial small subunit ribosomal RNA", at positions 509 to 807 of the family's 1533-position model. The record is from RNAcentral.
CAGUCGCCGCGGGAAUACGAAGGGUGCAAGCGUUAAUCGGAAUUACUGGGCGUAAAGCGUGCGUAGGUGGUUAUUUAAGUGAGAUGUGAAAGCCCCGGGCUUAACCUGGGAACUGCAUCUUAUACUGGGUAACUGGAGUGCAGUAGAGGGUAGUGGAAUUUCCGGUGUAGCGGUGAAAUGCGUAGAUAUCGGAAGGAACACCAGUGGCGAAGGCGGCUACCUGGACUGAGACUGACACUGAGGCGCGAGAGCGUGGGGAGCAAACAGGAUUAGAUACCCCUGUAGUCCCUGUCUCUUAUAC